AACGAACGCUGGCGGCAUGCCUAACACAUGCAAGUCGAACGAGACCUUCGGGUCUAGUGGCGCACGGGUGCGUAACGCGUGGGAACCUGCCCUCACCCUCGGAAUAACUCCCCGAAAGGGGUGCUAAUACCGGCUAAUGUCUUCGGCCCAAAGAUUUAUCGCCUUUGGAUGGGCCCGCGUUGGAUUAGCUAGUUGGUAGGGUAAAAGCCUACCAAGGCGACGAUCCAUAGCUGGUCUGAGAGGAUGAUCAGCCACACUGGGACUGAGACACGGCCCAGACUCCUACGGGAGGCAGCAGUGGGGAAUAUUGGACAAUGGGCGAAAGCCUGAUCCAGCAAUGCCGCGUGAGUGAUGAAGGCCUUAGGGUUGUAAAGCUCUUUUACCCGGGAUGAUAAUGACAGUACCGGGAGAAUAAGCUCCGGCUAACUCCGUG
RNAcentral lists this ribosomal RNA (433 nucleotides) under uncultured bacterium. RNAcentral's name for it is "partial 16S ribosomal RNA". It matches the Rfam family "Bacterial small subunit ribosomal RNA", at positions 29 to 507 of the family's 1533-position model. The record is from RNAcentral.